ACUUGUAAUACAUCAUACAGUUUAAAUGCUGUAUGAAUUCAGUUAUAUGUUAUAAAGAUGAGAUACAGCCUGAGAAGUGUGAAAGCAUAAUUUCAUUACCAUAUAGUGAAUGCUUGUAGGCCUAGAUGUAUAUAAGUCUUAUGCCACAGUCUGUUCUUCCAGACUACAAACUUAUCUGCUAUGUUACUGCUAUUGUAUAGACAGUUAUAAUAUGGCAUUGGCUAUAGGUAUACACAUAUGUAUAAACAUAUACAGGCAUAGAAAAGGAUACAGUAAAAUAUGAGAUAAUAGGAAUCUUCAACUCUGUUAUGGUGUUAAGGGAGCACUAUUGGAGUCGUGGGCUGUGAGUAAGUAAAUAUCAUUAUGCAGUGCAUUGAAUAUGUCUAUUAAUGCUGUAUUUCUUUUGAGGUUCUAUUUUGUAAACAGGUCCAUACUGUAUAGCUUAGACUACUCAGUGUCUCAAGUGCUGAAAUUAUGCACAUUACCACAGAGGCCCAUACUGUGUUGUACUUCAGAAAACAGUCACAAGGGGAAAGCAGCUAUAGAUACGCAGUAUGGCUAACAAGGGAAAGCAUCUGUAGUCAGUAUAGCUAAACAUUUCUCCCAAUAUUUGUGGUUGAAUUUGCAGUGUAGUGACAUGCCUUUAACCCCAUCACUAGGGAGGCAGAGACAGGCAGGACUCUGUAACAAGGACUCUGUUCAAGGACAGCCUGGUCUAUAAAGCAAGUUCCAGGACAACCAGGGCUACACAAAGAAAUUCUGUCUCAAGAAAACCAAAAACCAAAACCAA
This 790-nucleotide long non-coding RNA is filed under the name Rattus norvegicus (Norway rat). Its description in RNAcentral is "long non-coding RNA NONRATT033953". The record is from RNAcentral. Lineage: Eukaryota; Metazoa; Chordata; Mammalia; Rodentia; Muridae.